GCCGAAUUAGCUCAGUUGGUAGAGCAUCUCAUUCGUAAUGAGGAGGUCACAAGUUCGAUUCUUGCAUUCGGCA
This 73-nucleotide transfer RNA is filed under the name Aerococcus viridans. Its description in RNAcentral is "tRNA-Thr". It matches the Rfam family "tRNA". From Rfam's summary of the family: Transfer RNA (tRNA) molecules are approximately 80 nucleotides in length. Their secondary structure includes four short double-helical elements and three loops (D, anti-codon, and T loops). Further hydrogen bonds mediate the characteristic L-shaped molecular structure. tRNAs have two regions of fundamental functional importance: the anti-codon, which is responsible for specific mRNA codon recognition, and the 3' end, to which the tRNAs corresponding amino acid is attached (by aminoacyl-tRNA synthetases). tRNAs cope with the degeneracy of the genetic code in two manners: having more than one tRNA (with a specific anti-codon) for a particular amino acid; and 'wobble' base-pairing, i.e. permitting non-standard base-pairing at the 3rd anti-codon position. The record is from RNAcentral. Lineage: Bacteria; Bacillati; Bacillota; Bacilli; Lactobacillales; Aerococcaceae. RNAcentral also lists the same sequence under 2 other names.